This 240-nucleotide long non-coding RNA is filed under the name Sorghum bicolor (sorghum). RNAcentral describes it as "long non-coding RNA (SBIC_LNC001213)". Lineage: Eukaryota; Viridiplantae; Streptophyta; Magnoliopsida; Poales; Poaceae. The record is from RNAcentral.
UAGAAUUAGGGUUUGAUCUGACAGAAUUCCACGAGUUUUGUUGUUUAUCUGUUUCUGCAGGGGGUUAUCAGGAAAUAAGGAAGAAAGGCCCACAUGUCAGGAUUACAUAGAGAUAUCAACGCACCGCACGAUUUUACAUCAUCUAGAAGACUCCAGAAGCCACGAGACCGAAGCGGAGGCGAAACAGGGCCAGGCCCAGGGCGCCCGCCCUGGUAGCCUGGGCGCCCGCCCCCCUCUGGA